Molecule: non-coding RNA, 73 nt
Organism: Phascolomyces articulosus
Lineage: Eukaryota; Fungi; Mucoromycota; Mucoromycetes; Mucorales; Lichtheimiaceae
Source: the annotation of a GenBank genome assembly
GCUCCCAUGGCGUAGAGGUUAUCGCGUUUGCUUUACACGCAAAAGGUCUCCGGUUCGAUCCCGGAUGAGAGCU